GGUGAGCUGCUGUGUUGGUGACUGCCUUUCACAGUUUUCUGAUCUGACUCCCUCUUCGACGUGGGAGGUCUGUCGUGACGGUGCAGUAAGCCGGCCUCGUAGCCGGACACGGAUCCCCACUUUGACCUCUCCCCUGGUUCAUCCAGGUCGAAACCUGGGGCAAGACGGCACAGCGGUUCACCC
Molecule: non-coding RNA, 183 nt
Organism: Synechococcus sp. SynAce01
Lineage: Bacteria; Bacillati; Cyanobacteriota; Cyanophyceae; Synechococcales; Synechococcaceae
Rfam family: 6S / SsrS RNA
About the family: E. coli 6S RNA was the first non coding RNA to be sequenced, but its function was unknown until recently.
Source: Rfam